This 69-nucleotide transfer RNA is filed under the name Nerophis ophidion (straightnose pipefish). Its description in RNAcentral is "tRNA-Met". It matches the Rfam family "tRNA". From Rfam's summary of the family: Transfer RNA (tRNA) molecules are approximately 80 nucleotides in length. Their secondary structure includes four short double-helical elements and three loops (D, anti-codon, and T loops). Lineage: Eukaryota; Metazoa; Chordata; Actinopteri; Syngnathiformes; Syngnathidae. The record is from RNAcentral.
AGUAAGGUAAGCUAAAUAAGCUUUUGGGCCCAUGCCCCAACAAUGUGGGUUAAACUCCUACUUUUACUG